Molecule: long non-coding RNA, 373 nt
Organism: Coccinella septempunctata (seven-spotted ladybird)
Lineage: Eukaryota; Metazoa; Arthropoda; Insecta; Coleoptera; Coccinellidae
Exons: 3
Source: RefSeq, a predicted model, not a curated record
UUGAUAGUAAAGUAAUUGGUAUAAUUGGAGGUAAUGUGGAAUAAAUAGAAGAAGGAGAAUCGAAAAAGGCUGAGUUGGUAUCAUGAAUUUGAACAGAAGCUUCGUCUUUUUUUCUCUGCUUUUUGCAGUAAUGGUCAUUUUUGCUGGAGUAGUUGAAGGUCAGUUCAAUCCAGGAGAGAUCCUCUAUGCUGCAAGCUUUGGACCACGUAGUAGAAACAAAACUUCAGCAUAAUAGAAACAUUUCAGUCACCUACUUCGGAUUUGAACAAGUUUUCCGUACAUCUUUCGAUGAAAAUCACUUUGGUAUAAGUAGGUACUUGAUCACUGUGUAAUGUAAUCUUACAAUUACAUGAAUAAUAUAAGUGAAGAUGAA